Molecule: long non-coding RNA, 333 nt
Filed under: Cyanistes caeruleus (blue tit)
Lineage: Eukaryota; Metazoa; Chordata; Aves; Passeriformes; Paridae
Description: lncRNA (ENSCCEG00000011850.1)
Source: RNAcentral
AUUGCCUGUGGGAGUUUGCAACAUACCUGACUGUACCCAUUUACACCAUGUUCUUAAGAAGAAGGAAAUUUUUUGCAUCAUGGUCCUCACCAGCUUAGUUUCCCUUCCGAAGAAAGAUGCAAAACUAAGACUGGCAGUUGGACUGAAGUUGAAAGCUCAGCUUCUCUGGGAAUAGCUCCAAGACCACCGACCGCCAGGUGUGCAGAGCCCAUCUCUACCAUCUCCAGGACAAGGUGGAGUCCCGUGGUCAUGGCUGGACUUGGACAAGGGUGCUUCAGGUGAAAGGUUACAGGGUUUGAAACUGACCUGUUCUUAUCACCCUCCUAAUUAGUG